This 1955-nucleotide ribosomal RNA is filed under the name human gut metagenome. Its description in RNAcentral is "bacterial LSU rRNA". It matches the Rfam family "Bacterial large subunit ribosomal RNA", at positions 1 to 1983 of the family's 2925-position model. The record is from RNAcentral.
GAAAGUAAACAAGGGCGCAUGGAGGAUGCCUAGGCUCUCGGAGGCGAAGAAGGACGUGAUAAGCUGCGAAAAGUUACGGUAAGGCGCAAAUAGCCGUAGACCCGUAAAUAUCCGAAUGGGGCAACCCGGCCAGCAAUGGCCAUACCGCCAAGCGGUAAGCCAACGCGGGGAACUGAAACAUCUAAGUACCCGCAGGAAAAGAAAAUAACAAUGAUUCCGCCAGUAGUGGCGAGCGAACGCGGAACAGCCCAAACCACCCGUGUUACGGCACGGGUGGGGUAGAAGGAUCCACGACACGGCAAGAAAUAAGUUAGCGGAAUACGAUGGAAAUCGUAGCCAGAGACGGUGACAGCCCGGUACGCGAAAACCGACAGAAGCCCAGUGGACACCUGAGUAACCCAGGACACGAGAAAUCCGGGGCGAAUCAGCGGGGCCCAUCCCGUAAGGCUAAAUACUCCCGAGAGACCGAUAGCGAACCAGUACUGUGAAGGAAAGGUGAAAAGCACCUCGAACAGAGGAGUGAAAUAGUCCCUGAAACCGUCUGCCUACAAGCGGUCGGAGCACAUUAAAGUGUGACGGCGUGCCUUUUGCAUAAUGAACCUACGAGUUACUUUCUCCGGCAAGGUUAAGGGCUUCAGGCCCGGAGCCGAAGCGAAAGCGAGUCUUAAUAGGGCGUGAUAGUCGGAGUGAGUAGACGCGAAACCAAGUGAUCUACCCUUGGUCAGGAUGAAGGUUGGGUAACACCAACUGGAGGUCCGAAUGGGUAUACGUUGAAAAGUGUUCCAAUGAACUGAGGGUAGGGGUGAAAGGCUAAUCAAACUUGGAGAUAGCUCGUACUCCCCGAAAUGCAUUUAGGUGCAGCCUUUAUUUAGUAUAGCAUGAGGUAGAGCGACUGAUUGGAUGCGAGGGCUUCACCGCCUAUCAAGUCCAGAUAAACUCCGAAUGCGUGCUAUAUAUUGAUAAGGAGUGAGGGCGCGGGUGCUAAGGUCCGCGUCCGAGAGGAGAAGAAUCCAGACCAUCAGCUAAGGUCCCCAAAUAACAGUUAAGUUGAACUAACGAAGUCGGACUGCAGAGACAGCUAGGAUGUUGGCUUGGAAGCAGCCAUUCAUUUAAAGAGUGCGUAACAGCUCACUAGUCGAGGAGUCCGGCGUGGAUAAUACUCGGGCAUAAACUGUUUACCGAAGCUAUGGAUGUAGAAAUACAUGGUAGGGGAGCAUUCCAACGGCGUCGAAGGUGAAGGAUGACCUUUGCUGGAGCUUUUGGAAACGCAAAUGUAGGUAUAAGUAACGAUAAAGGAGGUGAGAAACCUCCUCGCCGAAAGACUAAGGUUUCCUGAUCAACGUUAAUCGGAUCAGGGUAAGUCGGGACCUAAGGUUAAGCCGAACGGCGAUACCGAUGGAAGAAUGGUUUAAUAUUCCCAUACUACUUUAUGGAGCGAUGUGGAGACGGAGAAGUGAAAGUCCUGCCAUCUGACGGAAUAGGUGGUUGAAGAGUGUAGAUGUAGAUUCCUGUAGGCAAAUCCGCAGGGAGAGUCGACCUUGAUAGUAUGCCGCGUGCUUGCACAAGGCAAAAUGGACGUAAUCAGGCUCCCAAGAAAAUCCGCUAAGCAUAUUCAUAAAGUACCCGUACCGUAAACGGACACACGUAGUUGGGUUGAAAAUACUGAGGCGCUCGAGUGAUUCACGGUUAAGGAACUAGGCAAAUUGACCCUGUAACUUCGGGAUAAAGGGUCCCUACUGAGAGGUAGGGCGCAGAGAAUAGGUCCAGGCAACUGUUUAACAAAAACACAUGGCUGUGCGAAAUAGAAAUAUGAAGUAUACAGCCUGACACCUGCCCGGUGCUGGAAGGUUAAGAGGAGAGCUCAUCGCAAGAGAAGGCUUGAAUUGAAGCCCCAGUAAACGGCGGCCGUAACUAUAACGGUCCUAAGGUAGCGAAAUUCCUUGUCGGGUAAGUUC